This 489-nucleotide ribosomal RNA is filed under the name uncultured bacterium. RNAcentral describes it as "bacterial SSU rRNA". It matches the Rfam family "Bacterial small subunit ribosomal RNA", at positions 28 to 517 of the family's 1533-position model. The record is from RNAcentral.
GAUGAACGCUAGCGGGAGGCCUAACACAUGCAAGCCGAGCGGUAGAGAUCUUUUGGGAUCUUGAGAGCGGCGUACGGGUGCGGAACACGUGUGCAACCUACCUUUAUCUGGAGGAUAGCCUUUCGAAAGGAAGAUUAAUACUCCAUAAUAUAUUGAUUGGCAUCAGUUGAUAUUGAAAGCUCCGGCGGAUAAAGAUGGGCACGCGCAAGAUUAGCUAGUUGGUGAGGUAACGGCUCACCAAGGCGAUGAUCUUUAGGGGGCCUGAGAGGGUGAUCCCCCANACUGGUACUGAGACACGGACCAGACUCCUACGGGAGGCAGCAGUGAGGAAUAUUGGUCAAUGGGUGCAAGCCUGAACCAGCCAUCCCGCGUGAAGGACGACUGCCCUAUGGGUUGUAAACUUCUUUUGUAUAGGGAUAAACCUACUCUCGUGAGAGUAGCUGAAGGUACUAUACGAAUAAGCACCGGCUAACUCCGUGCCAGCAGCCG